Molecule: ribosomal RNA, 394 nt
Filed under: uncultured bacterium
Lineage: Bacteria
Description: partial 16S ribosomal RNA
Rfam family: Bacterial small subunit ribosomal RNA
Source: RNAcentral
AUACGUAGGGGGCGAGCGUUGUCCGGAAUGAUUGGGCGUAAAGGGCGCGUAGGCGGCGCGGUAAGUCUGGAGUGAAAGUCCUGCUUUCAAGGUGGGAAUUGCUUUGGAUACUGCCGCGCUUGAGUGCAGGAGAGGUUAUCGGAAUUCCCGGUGUAGCGGUGAAAUGCGUAGAGAUCGGGAGGAACACCAGUGGCGAAGGCGGGUAACUGGACUGCAACUGACGCUGAGGCGCGAAAGUGUGGGGAGCAAACAGGAUUAGAUACCCUGGUAGUCCGCACAGUAAACGAUGGACACCCGCGGUUUGGCCUAUAUGGCUGAGCCGCCAAGCGAAAGCGUUAAGUGUCCCACAUGGGGAGUACGCCGGCAACGGUGAAACUCAAAUGAAUUGACGGGG